GUGGGGAAUCUUGCGCAAUGGGCGAAAGCCUGACGCAGCCAUGCCGCGUGAAUGAUGAAGGUCUUAGGAUUGUAAAAUUCUUUCACCGGGGACGAUAAUGACGGUACCCGGAGAAGAAGCCCCGGCUAACUUCGUGCCAGCAGCCGCGGUAAUACGAAGGGGGCUAGCGUUGCUCGGAAUUACUGGGCGUAAAGGGCGCGUAGGCGGACAGUUUAGUCAGAGGUGAAAGCCCAGGGCUCAACCUUGGAAUUGCCUUUGAUACUGGCUGUCUUGAGUACGGGAGAGGUUAGUGGAACUCCGAGUGUAGAGGUGAAAUUCGUAGAUAGUCGGAAGAACACCAGUGGCGAAGGCGACUCACUGGCCCGUUACUGACGCUGAGGCGCGAAAGCGUGGGGAGCAAACAGGAUUAGAAACCCCUGUAGUCC
RNAcentral lists this ribosomal RNA (425 nucleotides) under uncultured bacterium. RNAcentral's name for it is "partial 16S ribosomal RNA". It matches the Rfam family "Bacterial small subunit ribosomal RNA", at positions 354 to 796 of the family's 1533-position model. The record is from RNAcentral.